UUGGGGGCCAUUGUCCCAAGGAGAGGAGGAAAAUCGGUCAAAAGGGUAAAGAGGGAUGAGAGAUGAAUGGAAAUGAAGAGGAGAAGAGGAUUUCGGGUUGAUUGUCAUGGGUUUUACAAGUUAGAGCUUGAGAUUAUGAUGGAGAGCAAGAGGGUAUGCCGAGAGAGAGGGUUUGCUCUAGGGUUUAAGAUGGAGAUCCAAGAUUUUGGGUGGUUAACGGGAUGGAUUUGUGGGAUUAUGGUCGGUGGAGAGCUUGGAGAAGGGUUUCGGUAUG
RNAcentral lists this long non-coding RNA (274 nucleotides) under Elaeis guineensis (African oil palm). RNAcentral's name for it is "long non-coding RNA (EGUI_LNC049333)". The record is from RNAcentral. Lineage: Eukaryota; Viridiplantae; Streptophyta; Magnoliopsida; Arecales; Arecaceae.